RNAcentral lists this long non-coding RNA (2487 nucleotides) under Homo sapiens (human). RNAcentral describes it as "non-protein coding lnc-TLE3-5:2". Lineage: Eukaryota; Metazoa; Chordata; Mammalia; Primates; Hominidae. The record is from RNAcentral.
CGCUCGGGUCCCCUUCCACACUGUGGAAGCUUUGUUCUUUUGCUCUUUGCAAUAAAUCUUGCUGCUGCUCACUCUUUGGGUCCACACUGCUUUUAUGAGCUGUAACACUCACCACAAAAGUCUGCAGCUUCAGUCCUGAAGCCAGCGAGACCACGAGCCCACCAGGAAGAACAAACAAACUCCAGACACGCCACCUUAAGAGCUGUGACACUCACCACGAGGGUCCGCGGCUUCAUUCUUGAAGUCAGUUGAGACCGAGAACCCACCAAUUCCGGACACACUGGGAUUACAGGUGUGAGCCACUGCGCCCAGCCAAGCAUGCCAUUCUUUAGAAGAUGUUCUCUCCUGGCACAUCUCAGUUUCUACAAAGGCCCCCAGCCCUUCCUGGAGACCCCUGGGGCGAAGUUCUCUCACCCUUCUUCACAUGCCCAUAACAACUCACCUCCCUCUCUCUUAGAGCCCCCGUCCUGCCCUUCCUUGAAUUCUGGUCAUGCUCAUGUUUGCCAUAGCUCCCCAAGGAAGACAGCCUCUGAGUCAGGUCUGACAUUGUCUGUCCUUAAAGAAGGCACUUAACACAUAUUUGUCAACUGAAUUAAUAAAAAUUUCCCACAGGGCCUUGGAAGAAAUUUUGUACCUGUUUGCCUCUGCUGGAUGACGCACUCUGAACACAGCUACCUAAAAGUGGAAGGAAGGAGGCCGGGCAGGGUGGCUCACGCCCAUAAUCCCAGCACCUUGGGAGACUGAGUCAGGUGGAUCACUUGAGCUCAGGAGUUUGAGACCAGCCUAGGCAACAUGGCGAAAUCCUGUCUCUACAAAAAAAAUUUAAAACUUAGGCAUGGUGGCACGUGCCUGUAGUCCCAGCUACUCAGGAGUCUGAGGUGGGAGGAUUGCUUGAGCCUAGGAGGUGGAGGCUGCAGUGAGCCGAAAUCACAUCACUGCCCUCCAGCCUGAGCAACAGAGCAAGACCCAAUCUCAAAAAAAAAAAAAAAAAAAAAAAGGCUAAAAGGAAGGACUGUUUUGAGCUGAGGCAACCCCAAGGACUGGUGACAUUCCCUGGGUCUCCCCUGCCAGCCUCGUGUCAUACCCCAAGAGAGGCUGGGACACAUCUGUGAAACAGGAUGCUGAACAGCGGAACACAGCGGACUUGAGCCAGCCUAAGUGGGUUUCUGCUCCUUGCAACAAGAGGCCUGAAUAGAAGCCCCUUCUUCAGGGGAGUGGGCAUCAGCUCAGAAAGAGGAUCCCAUGGGAACUGACUUUGCUGGUGACCAAGGCCCUACCACCAGGGCACCCUGCCCAUGUAUCCCAAGCAGAGGGAGCAGAACCAGCGGUGUAACUACUGUGCUUGACACCCAGGGCAGGUCUUUUUUUAACUCACCGAUCUUCCAUGCAACAAAAUUGUUUUCUGUGAAAAGCAGGAAAUGAAUAACAACAGCGUAGGUGCGUUGGCUAUGUCCGGUGGCAUUUCUUCAGAAUUUUCAUUAAUGACACCUGAUUUUGGAGGCAUUGUAUAUUUUUAAAUACAUCCAGAUGUUGUUUCAGUUGCUUCCUCUUUGGUUCUUUUUGCUUUUCGUUGUUGAGCGUCACUUAAAUUCGUGUCAUUUCAUGUUGGUACAGGUACUCCACUUCAAAUUUCCCAAGAAAUUCAGAAGAAUUGUGAACAAGUUGCUGGUUUCACAAUACUGCAAGACACUGCAAGUUAUUCCAAGUUCCUACAGGACAACGAUGCACAAUUAUUUACUUACUUAUGUUUAAAUAUACCUAUCAGUUUGACUUUCAUCCUUUGGUGACAUUCUAAUAAUUUAUGUAAAUAAUUAUUCAGAGACCAAUGAGAGGAUUUUAAUAAGUGCAAAAUGUUAGCAGACGGUACAACAUUGAUAAAUCUAUGGUCUGUAUUUUGUUCUGCCAUUUCAAAAUAAUUAAAAAGUAAGUUUCAAUUUAAAAACAUUAUUGAAAUUCAGUAAAAUAUUUCAAGCAUGAACUAAAAUAUACACUUACUAAACACAAAUAUUACACCUCACAUUUCAUACUCUGUUUCAUUGUUUUAAAUUUUAAACAGAAAUAACUCCACCGGCCACCUAGAAUGAUCAAAUCAGGCAACUCAAGUUACUUUGUUUCAUCUUCACAAUCACUGUGCUAUCAUUGUUCAUUUUGAAUCUACUUUUUAAAAGCAAGAAUAUUUGAUACCAGAUACCAGACACAAAUUAUACCUGAAAAGGAUGUCAUUUUAGGAUUUGUGUCCCACCUAAAGGAUACAAUUCUGUACCCUGACAAUGUUAUUCUAGAAAUAAAUGCCUAUGAGUGAGUCUUGUUUCAAGAGCCAACUCUACAACUAGGAGUUCCCCCAAAGUAACUUCCAUGUGCAAUAAAGUUUUUAUUAAAGGAUAAGUAUUAAAAUUGUCCUAAGCAGAAAACCAAACACUGCAUGUUCUCACUCAUAGGUGGGAAUUGAACAAUGAGAACACUUGGACACAGGGUGGGGAACAUCAC